This 87-nucleotide transfer RNA is filed under the name Candidatus Saccharimonadota bacterium. RNAcentral describes it as "tRNA-Leu". It matches the Rfam family "tRNA". Rfam says of the family: Transfer RNA (tRNA) molecules are approximately 80 nucleotides in length. Their secondary structure includes four short double-helical elements and three loops (D, anti-codon, and T loops). The record is from RNAcentral. Lineage: Bacteria; Candidatus Saccharimonadota.
GCGCGGGUGGCGGAAUUGGUAGACGCGCUACCUUGAGGUGGUAGUGGGAGCAAUCCCGUGGAGGUUCAAGUCCUCUCUCGCGCACCA